AAACCGUGUGCCUACAAGUAGUCAGAGCCCGUUAAUGGGUGAUGGCGUGCCUUUUGUAGAAUGAACCGGCGAGUUACGAUUGCAUGCAAGGUUAAGGUGAGAAGCCGGAGCCGCAGCGAAAGCGAGUCUGAACAGGGCGAGUGAGUAUGCAGUUGUAGACCCGAAACCAGGUGAUCUACCCAUGUCCAGGGUGAAGGUAAGGUAACACUUACUGGAGGCCCGAACCCACGCACGUUGAAAAGUGCGGGGAUGAGGUGUGGGUAGCGGAGAAAUUCCAAUCG
RNAcentral lists this ribosomal RNA (281 nucleotides) under Planomicrobium sp. Y74. RNAcentral's name for it is "partial 23S ribosomal RNA". It matches the Rfam family "Bacterial large subunit ribosomal RNA", at positions 553 to 835 of the family's 2925-position model. Lineage: Bacteria; Bacillati; Bacillota; Bacilli; Caryophanales; Caryophanaceae. The record is from RNAcentral.